Molecule: ribosomal RNA, 243 nt
Filed under: uncultured bacterium
Lineage: Bacteria
Description: partial 16S ribosomal RNA
Rfam family: Bacterial small subunit ribosomal RNA
Source: RNAcentral
CUUAGUGGCGGACGGGUGAGUAACGCGUGGGUAACCUGCCUUAUACAGGGGGAUAACAGUCAGAAAUGACUGCUAAUACCGCAUAAGCGCACAGGACCGCAUGGUCCGGUGUGAAAAACUCCGGUGGUAUAAGAUGGACCCGCGUUGGAUUAGCUAGUUGGUGAGGUAACGGCCCACCAAGGCGACGAUCCAUAGCCGGCCUGAGAGGGUGAACGGCCACAUUGGGACUGAGACACGGCCCAA